AUUGAACGCUGGCGGCAGGCUUAACACAUGCAAGUCGAGAGAGCGGCGGACGGGGGAGUAAUGUCUGGGAAACUGCCUGAUGGAGGGGGAUAACUAAUGGAAACGGUAGCUAAUACCGCAUACCAUCAGAUGUGCCCAGAUGGGAUUAGCUAGUAGGUGGGGUAAUGGCUCACCUAGGCGACGAUCCCUAGCUGGUCUGAGAGGAUGACAAUCCACACUGGAACUUAGACCCGGUCCAGACUCCUACGGGAGGCAGCAGGGGGGAAUAUUUCACAAUGGGCGCAAGCCUGAUGCAGCCCUGCCGCGUGUGGGAAGAAGGCCUUCGGGUUGUAAAGCACUUUCAGCGAGGAGGCGUUACUCGCAGAAGAAGCACCGGCUAACUCCGUGCCAGCAGCCGCGGUAAUAC
Molecule: ribosomal RNA, 406 nt
Filed under: uncultured bacterium
Lineage: Bacteria
Description: partial 16S ribosomal RNA
Rfam family: Bacterial small subunit ribosomal RNA
Source: RNAcentral